GACGAACGCUGGCGGCGUGCUUAACACAUGCAAGUCGAACGGAAAGGCCCUGCUUUUGUGGGGUGCUCGAGUGGCGAACGGGUGAGUAACACGUGAGUAACCUGCCCUUGACUUUGGGAUAACUUCAGGAAACUGGGGCUAAUACCGGAUAGGAGCUCCUGCUGCAUGGUGGGGGUUGGAAAGUUUCGGCGGUUGGGGAUGGACUCGCGGCUUAUCAGCUUGUUGGUGGGGUAGUGGCUUACCAAGGCUUUGACGGGUAGCCGGCCUGAGAGGGUGACCGGCCACAUUGGGACUGAGAUACGGCCCAGACUCCUACGGGAGGCAGCAGUGGGGAAUAUUGCACAAUGGGCGGAAGCCUGAUGCAGCAACGCCGCGUGCGGGAUGACGGCCUUCGGGUUGUAAACCGCUUUCGCCUGUGACGAAGCGUGAGUGACGGUAAUGGGUAAAGAAGCACCGGCUAACUACGUGCCAGCAGCCGCGGUGAUACGUAGGGUGCGAGCGUUGUCCGGAUUUAUUGGGCGUAAAGGGCUCAUAGGUGGUUGAUCGCGUCGGAAGUGUAAUCUUGGGGCUUAACCCUGAGCGUGCUUUCGAUACGGGUUGACUUGAGGAAGGUAGGGGAGAAUGGAAUUCCUGGUGGAGCGGUGGAAUGCGCAGAUAUCAGGAGGAACACCAGUGGCGAAGGCGGUUCUCUGGGCCUUUCCUGACGCUGAGGAGCGAAAGCGUGGGGAGCGAACAGGCUUAGAUACCCUGGUAGUCCACGCUGUAAACGGUGGGUACUAGGUGUGGGGUCCAUUCCACGGGUUCCGUGCCGUAGCUAACGCUUUAAGUACCCCGCCUGGGGAGUACGGCCGCAAGGCUAAAACUCAAAGGAAUUGACGGGGCCCCGCACAAGCGGCGGAGCAUGCGGAUUAAUUCGAUGCAACGCGUAGAACCUUACCUGGGUUUGACAUGGAUCGGGAGUGCUCAGAGAUGGGUGUGCCUCUUUUGGGGUCGGUUCACAGGUGGUGCAUGGCUGUCGUCAGCUCGUGUCGUGAGAUGUUGGGUUAAGUCCCGCAACGAGCGCAACCCCUGUUCACUGUUGCCAGCACGUUAUGGUGGGGACUCAGUGGAGACCGCCGGGGUCAACUCGGAGGAAGGUGGGGAUGACGUCAAGUCAUCAUGCCCCUUAUGUCCAGGGCUUCACGCAUGCUACAAUGGCUGGUACAGAGAGUGGCGAGCCUGUGAGGGUGAGCGAAUCUCGGAAAGCCGGUCUCAGUUCGGAUUGGGGUCUGCAACUCGACCUCAUGAAGUCGGAGUCGCUAGUAAUCGCAGAUCAGCAACGCUGCGGUGAAUACGUUCCCGGG
RNAcentral lists this ribosomal RNA (1343 nucleotides) under uncultured bacterium. RNAcentral's name for it is "16S ribosomal RNA". It matches the Rfam family "Bacterial small subunit ribosomal RNA", at positions 28 to 1378 of the family's 1533-position model. The record is from RNAcentral.